This is a long non-coding RNA of Onychomys torridus (southern grasshopper mouse), 299 nucleotides long. RefSeq lists it as uncharacterized. The transcript is spliced from 3 exons. The record is from RefSeq and is a predicted model, not a curated record. Lineage: Eukaryota; Metazoa; Chordata; Mammalia; Rodentia; Cricetidae.
UGCUGUCAGUAUCACACUCUCUGUUGUACACAUGUAUGGGAUAUUUUAGACUGCAGUGACCUAUGAUGAUGUGCAUAUUGACUUCACUUGGGAGGAGUGGACUUUGCUGGAUCCUUCCCAGAAGAAUCUCUACAAAGAUGUUAUGCAAGAGACAUACAGGAACCUCACUGCUAUAGGCUACAGUUGGGAAGACCAUAAUAUUGAAGAACAUUGUCAAAGUUCUGGCAGACAUGCAAGGUACAAAAAAUGUCAUAGAGGAGAGAAACCCUCUAAAUAUACUUAUUGUGCAAAAUUAUCCU